CUGCCAUCUUCCCGGGGCGAGAGGAGGAGGAGGAGGAGGGCGAAGGGGAGGGGGGCCGGGAACGGGUCGCCGGCGAUAGGCGGCGGUGGUGGAAGGGGCAAUGCGGCCGCCGCUGGGCCUGUCCCGCCGGUCGCCGGGCUUCUGCGGGAGGCCCAGCUGAGGCCCCGGCGUGCCCAGUGGCCGCUCUCGGCCCACGUGGCCUUUGCGACCUGAGUGCGGGCGAUGGGGCCGCGGGUGCCCUGCUGGCACAGAGUCACAGGAUCAACUGGGUUGGGAAAGACGUCUGAGAUCCCCGAGUCCAACCUGUUACCGAACACCACCGUGUUAAUUAGACCAUGGCGCUGAGUGCCACAUCCAGUCUUUAUUUACCGCCAGGGAGGUUACCGCUUAGGUGUGGUAGCCGACUGCGUUCCUGACAGGCUGUGUCUGCUUGUUCCAGGUGUAUACAGAAUUUUUAGGGUUGAGAGGGACUUCUGGACAUCACCUAGUCCAACCCCUCUGCCAAGGAAGCAUCACCUAGAGCAGGUGACACAGGAACACAUCUGGACAAGGACUCUGUAUAUACAGACAAGACACAGAAUUGAUGUGAACCCUGAAGAUCUCAUAAGCAGUAUGAGAGACAGAGGAAGAGAAAUGAGAGAGAAGGAAAAGCCAACCUUCAGAGAUGCCUAUAAGCACUGUAGGAGUUCCUGUCCUACUGAGAGAAGAGCCCAGUGAUUGUUGCUCCAAAAGAAAAAAAGGAUUAAAGGAAGAACCUGAGGUUUUGCUGUGUUUGCUUGUUUUUAUGCCUCAAGAGGAAGCAAAUGUCUUAGGGGCCAGCUUGGGAUGCAUUUAACCUUUGCAGAAGAUAACUCUGGUCUUCAUUUUGAAAAGAAAAGAAAAGAAAAGGAAAAGAAAAGAAAAGAAAAGGAAAAGAAAAGGAAAAGGAAAAGAAAAGAAAAGAAAAGAAAAGAAAAGAAAAGAAAAGAAAAGAAAAGAAAAGAAAAGAAAAGAAAAGAAAAGAAAAGAAAAGAAAAGAAAAGAAAAGAAAAGAAAAGAAAAGAAAAGAAAAGAAAAGAAAAGAAAAGAAAAGAAAAGAAGAGAGAAAAGAAAAGAAAAGAAAAGAAAAGAAAAGAAAAGAAAAGAAAAGAAAAGAAAAGAAAAGAAAAGAAAAGAAAAGAAAAGAAAAGAAAAAAGAAAAGAAAAGAAAAGAAAAGAAAAGAAAAGAAAAGAAAAGAAAAGAAAAGAAAAGAAAAGAAAAGAAAAGAAAAGAAAAGAAAAGAAAAGAAAAGAAAAGAAAAGAAAAGAAAAGAAAAGAAAAAGAGAAAAAGAAAACACCUCAGAUACAAUUUUUAAUAAUGGCUGUUUACUGAAAAUUCAACUCUGACUAAUUUAACACACAUAAAUGUUUAUGGAAAUUCUAACUCGCAGGGGCUCUGGUGGAGGCCUGAGAGAACAGGGAGGAGAGGGAGCAGAUGAAGCUAUAAUUUACAGCCUUCAUGAUAUAUCUACAUUGUCCUUGAAUACCAAAGAAGCUGAGAAACUUUCACUGGGCAGCCAAAAUCCCUCCUUCAAGCAACUCCCUCUGUUUCCCACUGGUGCUUGGAAACAGGAGGACUUGAGCCCUGGUGCUCUUUGCCAGUCACCGCACCCUGUGUCUGAUCUUUUCCAAUUACUUCUGUGUUACAGUUAGUAUUGAAUUUAUUGUGCUAGGAAACUGUUUGGCUACAGAUAUGAAAUUAAUAAUGAAAUAAUUAGGAGAGACAUUAUUUCAUUUCCUUCAAAGUAUUCAAAGUAUUAAAAUGAAUGUUAGUUUAGUAUUUGAGAAGAAAGGCCACGAUUUUAUAUUAAAUAGAGAGUGGCAGUUAAAGAACUAGCUGCCACCACUAGCACUACCUGACCCCUACAGUCUUACAUGGAGACUGUGAGCUAGCUGGCAUCACACCUAGUGAGCUCACAUGGCAGAAGAGCUUUGUGACAAAACCAUCAUUAGCCCUGCACAAACUCAGGCAUGCAUAUUUUCAAGAAUAAGAGUGGUCCAACAACCCCAACUGUCUCAACAUGUCUUCACAGGGGAGAUGCUCAAGCUCACUAAUCAUCUUCAUGUCCCUCUGCACUCUUUUCAGUAUGUCCACAUCCUUCUUAUGAUAGGAGUCCCAGAGCGGGAUGCAGCACUGCAGGUGGGAUCUCAUGAGAUCAGAGUUAUGGAGCAGAAUCCCCUCCCUUGACCUGCUGGCCACAUUGCUUUUGAUGCAGCCCAGGACAUGGUUGACUCUCUGGGAUGCCAGUGCACAUUGCUGGGUCAUGUUGAGCUUUUCAUCUGCCGACACCCUCAAGUCCAUCUCUACAGGGGGCUGCUCUCAGUCCACUUAUUGUCCAGACUGUAUCUAUGUUUGGAAUUGCCCCAACUCAGGUGCAGGACCUUGCACUUGGCCUUAUUGAACUUAGUAAGAUUCACACAGGCCCACUUCUCAAGCUUGUCAAGGUCCCUCUGGGUGGCAUCCAUUCUUUCUAGAGUAUCCAACAGCUUGGUGUUGUCAGCAAACUUGAUGAGGGUGCACUCAAUCCGACUGUCCAUGUUGCUGACAAAGUUGUUAAAUAAUACUCAUUGCAGUAUGGAUCUCUGAGGGUCCCAAGUCAUCACUAUUUUCCACCUGGGCAUCAGGCCGUUGGCUGCAACUCUCUGAGUGCAACCACUUCUUUAUCCACUGAGCAUUCCACCCGUUAAAUCCAUGUCUCUCCAGUGUAGGAGAUAGUGGUAGUGUGGGACAGUAUCAAAUGCUUUGCACAAGGCGAGACAGAUUAUGUCAGUCAUUCUUCCCCCAUCCAUAAAUGCUGUAACCCCAUCAGAGAAGGCCACCAAACUGGGCAGGCAUGAUUUGCACUUCACAAAGCCAUGUUGGUUGUCACCAAUCACCUCCCUGUCCUCCGUAUGCCUCAGCAUAGUUUCCAGGAGGAUCUGCUUCAUGAUCUUGCCAGGCACCAAGGUGAGAAUGACUGGCCUAUAGUUCCCCAAGUCUUCAUUUUUUAUCUUUUUUAAAAAUGAGGGUUAUAAAUGCCUUUUCCAGUCAUUGGGAACUUUACCAGUUCAAGUGAAGGAGUAUCUCAUUUAACCAUUACUAAUCUCCUUGUUUGGCCUGAUAACACCAUCACUUUCUCUUGGGACUGCCAGUUUAUUUGUAACUGAGCAAGAUCCAUCUGUCUUGUGUAAAGAAAGCUAAAGUAGAUUGUGGUUUUUUGUCACUCAUUAAGUAUACCUAGUAAAGCUCCUUUCAUUGCUGGAUACCUAGUAUUCUAGAAUUGUCCUUGAAGUAUUUAUAGUGAUCUUCAAUUCUACUCAAAAUUUACAGUAUCAUAAUUAUCCAAAGUGUUCACAGCACAACACACCUUUAGAGCUGUUAUUGCUACUUCAUGCAAACAUUCCCAACCAAUAUAAAAUAUAGGAGAGAAUUGCCUGUAACAGUAACCCACACUAGAUACAGGCAUGUCUGAAAAAGUGAGUUUUAUAAAGUGCAAAAAUACUCAACAGGUAUCUAGACAAUUGAUAUUUAAGGCCCAAAUAAUCCACAUGGAUUAAGUUUCACAUAUAAGACGUGAUAACACUUCUAAGCUUUGUUACAAGAGACCUAAAGGUAAAGUGAUAGUUUUCUUGUGUGUUUAAUAUACUGAGACAGGCAUAAUUUUUAAAGUAUAAUCUAUAGAAUAAGGAACAGUUAAAUUUGACACUACUUGCAAUCUGUUUGUUUAGCUAAAAUCCGUUCUGUCAUAUCUGUUUAUCAUGAUUUAUUGUUACCUCUUCAAAGAGCAGUGAUGAAGAUACUGAAACUUUCUACUAUUCUAAUGGUUAAGUCACCAAAGAUACAGUAUAGUAAAUGAAGAAGUGAUCUUAGAACAUACUCAUAGAUAACAGGACUUUUAGGAAUUUCCAUAGCAUUUUGGAGGAUGUACAUAUAAAACUACAAUCUAAAACUCCUUUGAGAAAUUAACUGGUAGUUUUUUCAUUAGUGCAAAUUAUUCCUAACUACACAAUGAUUGUAAUCUGCUAGAUGAAACCUGCUUGGGCCUUCUUUAAAAGUACUGCAUAGCACAUACCAACUGAAAUAAUUCAAACCUUUCACAGAUCAUGCUUGCAGUAAGUGGAAAAAAUGUACAUUUUUAUCUGUCUUUUGCACGGGGCAUGAAGAUUUAGGUAAAACACAUAAGGACAAAUUAAAUUCCUGACAAAAGUUAAUGAAUUAAUUGCAGGGGAGAGUGAGAAGUAUGGCUAAGGUUGUAAUACACUAUGCUUUCUAGUACAUGUAACUUCAAGCUAAAGGAAUUUUCAUUAAGAGUAAAUGUUAUUUUUCCUCUCUGCUAUAUUUCCUCUUCUUCCUCCCCCCCCCCCCAGUUUAUGUUAUGAUCUCCACUCAUGAUCAUGUUAAAGAAGAGGUAAGAAACUUCUAUGGAUAGGAAACUCUAUCCCUUUACCUGAAGUGGUUGUAGUAGCAGUAGUAGUAGUAGUAGUAGUAGUAGUAGUAAAAGUAGUAGAACAUUAGUUAUAGUGGGAUAUAAGGAGAAAAAAAUUAAGUAAGACAUUAGGCUUUAUAAUAAUGCAGUUAACCUAGGCAACUAAAAUGGAAAUCUCAUGGGACUGUUGCCUUCUGCCCAUCCUUGCUGCUACCCUGUGAUAUCAGCAUAAAAUUUCUCUGAAGUUUUUCAGCUUGAUGGUCUUGAUCUUACAUUACUGCAUGAUUUUGAUCUUAUAUUCCUAUCAUAUAAAAAAUUCUCACAGCAGGAAGGUAAAUCAAUCUGAUAUUAAGGAAUAUCACCCUUGGUUCAGAUAUUUCUCAUUAUGAAAUCAAGGCAUUUCAUUUACACAUUUAAAAUUGAUUUUUGGCAAGGCAUCAGUUCUACAGAGGAGUCUUGGCUAUUGAACAAUAGUGAAUAAAGGAUUCCACACAUUUUCCCAUCUGCUUUUGUAAUUGUUAAAAUAAAAAUAACAACUCUGAAUGGGAAUGAAGUGUUAUUUCAUACAUUGGUCCUCGCAACAAACAUUUUUGGUGUUGUUAAUUUAAAAUUUCUCGAUCUGAAAUCUCCCUCAGUGCUAAUGACAUCUUGCAAACUUUAUUUCCUUGAGAUUGGUCUUCAAUAAUAGAGGUGCUAACUGACAGAAGCUUAAACAUGUCCUGUGCCUUUGUAUUAUCACAGUGUAACAGAGGUGAUUGGGCCAUGUUCCCAGAAGAUCCUGUUAUUAGCUGAUGAGCAGUGGUACCAGGUCCCUCUUCCUCCUGGCAGAAAAACAGAGAUGCAGAAUACCCUCUGUGUUCUUCUAAAUUGCUGCCAGUGUUUGGAUUAAUAGCUGCAAGGCCAUUACUUCAGGAUUCUUAGUUCACAGCAAUUACACACUUAACAAAUAGCCAAGCAACAUCUGGAAAUGAAAAUAAGUAUUAUUUACAGGCUAUCCACGUAAAUUAAAAAUCAACUAAAUAGACUGAAGAUGGUAUGCCAAUAGCCUCAAAGCGUUGUCUUGACCAGUAACCUUGGCCUCUUGAUACUUUUCUAGUAACUAGUAGAUGUAUCAAGAUUAAAUGGGUAAGAGAAGUUACUUCUCAAAAUUGUGCAACUCUUGGUGUAUGCACCAAAAUAAAAGCUUUUAUCUCCUGGGCUGGAAGGAAUGUCAGCUAUAUAACUACUCAUCUUCUUGAUGUUCAGUGAAAUCAAUGCUGGCUGAAAGAGGCAGGUGCCCUGGCUCUGAGGCACUCAUAAGAGAAGUUAAAACAUAGGAUGAUUUAAAAAGAUAGUUAAAAAUAAUCUAAAAACAGUGCUCAGUAGCUGUGAGAAUGAACAUGGAACUGUAGUUCAUGAGCAUCAAUUUUCCUUUCACUGAGGCUAACUAUAGGAAAAAGUAAACAAAGCUGUACAGUUUUCAUUGUUGUCCCCACCUUCUAUUCUUAACAAGGCCAGACAGAGAUUGGGGAUGGGGUGUGUAAUACUUCAAGGUCUUAGAGUCAGGUGAACUGCUAAAUGCCACUUUGAGGAUAAAUAUAUCAACCAAGCACCUCCACGAUCCAUUAAAUACUUGGCUUAUUCUCAGAGCUGCUUUCAAGCACCACAUAUUGUCACCUAUUGCUGGGUCCUUAUUAUAAGUGUCUUUCUUGGUUAUUUUAGAAAUUACAGAAUGAGAAAGGUAUCAGGAGACUUGAGCCCAAAGGCACUGCACAUGUAACCAGCAUAGUGAAAUCAAAUACCAUUCUGUGCAUAUUUUUGCUCACCACAGCCACAAAAAAAACAUUUCCUUGCAUUUUGCCCUUUCCAUGGAAAAAGAAAGAAGGCUUCAAAGAUUUUGACUGGCUAACUUUGUACAGGAUAUUACAUGGAAAUAUAUGUGCUAAUCAGCCUCCCUGAGUUUUUUAGGCAUAUUGGAGAAAAGAUUAGAAAUUAGGAUUGCUGAAGAAGCCCAUAUGGAUAUGUAUAAAAUCAGAUGAUGAUGUAUGUUCUGUGUUCUUUGUAAACAUUCAGAAAAGCUGAUUUUACUGUGAUAUCCAUGACUCCCAGGGCAGCACUAACUUUUUACUCACAGCCAAAACUACUAAUUUUAAUGUUAGUGUUUGGUUUGUGGCCUGCCAUGUGAAAAAAAUGAACCAUAGUUACUCAGCAGAGUCAAACUUGAGGAUGACAGUCAGAGAAGCCUCCUUGCUAUACUUACUCAAGACCUCAGAAAUAAAGCAAAUAGAAAAUUCUUCAUAUGAAAUAAAUCACCAUUCAGACGUGUCAUAAAUUUGUGCCAUGAUUAUUCUUCAUCUUAUAUGACUGAUUUUUCAGAAUUUUUUAUACCACAUUCAUUCUUUCAGUUAAUCAGAUUCAUUGAUCUCCCUUUUAAAAUAAAGACAAUGGAUUGAUCACAGCCAUCAUAUAUGCUGUACAACUUCAUGUUGAGAGAUGAAGUGGAAGUACUCUCUAGUAAUAAAUAGAUGAUCUGCAUAUUUAUUUCAUCAGAGCAAUAAUGAAAGAAAAAGCUGUCAGCCUGAUUGUCAUCUGCAAAGAUGUACUUCAUGUACCUCAGCACUGAAAAUUAUGAAAAUAGACAUAUUUACAUUAGCACUACCUUCAGUCCAAGCAUGAAUUAUAGAGUAUUUUACUGUUGUGAACAAGAUGCUCUGAAGCAAAGCAUAGCAUAUUUAAAUGGUAUCAUUUAAAAUGAUACCAUUCAUCACGACUGGGGGGGGGGGGGGGGAAGAAAGAAACAGCUUGUGCUGACAAACACUGUCAGUUCUGUGUUCUGUCUUCUCCUGCCUUGUGCACUUUGGUAACAAGAUGUAAAAGCCACAUUCUUGCAUGUUCAUAUUUUGUUCAAGUACCAUCUGCCAGGGACUGGGAAGAGCUGACUGGGUGCCUGCAAAUGCAACUUCUUCUGUAGAGAAGCUUCUCUAUUGACUGCAGGAAAGGCAGCUCCACCUACUGACACUUCUGUCUGUCUGCUUUUUAAAGAGUGGAGGAAUUACUCAGUAGCAGCAUCAAGUCUCAUUUCCCAGUGGAAAUGCAGUUCCCAAAAAAACACUGAGAAGGUAUUUCUAAGCUUUAAAGCUAGUAGUCCACAUUAGGGUAUAUUUUCUCUCUUAAGAUAUCUGAGUCAUUCUGUAAAUUUAGUUUCUUAAAACAUGACUUUCUGAUAGUACAAGAUCUUACAAAAGCAGUACAUUAGGACAUUUAAAAUGAGAAACCGAUUUGACUUUAACUGUGAUCUGUCCUGACACAGCAUAAGGCUAUCUGUUCGCUUUUGAUCCAGGCAUAUUUUUCCGUGUUGCAGGUGCUCAAAUAUUUAUCGUUGUAACCUCAAUCAUAUUGUGUCUUUCAAAGCAUUUUUCGAGAAAUGGCAAACUUUUGUCACCUUUGUUUCUGAUGCAACAUUACUGCACUUGGUACAUCAGGAGUUUUUCUUCGAGACAAUACCUAAUGCACACUCAACUCCAUUGAAAGAAAAUACACUCAACUUGGACAGAAUCAGUAUCACAACUUGUGAGCAAAACUUGGUCUUGACUUCACAAAGACUGUUUCUGCCUGCUUCAGUACAAGUCAGAGAAACUGAAAGCACACCUUUCAAGUAGCCACGUGUGGAAAGGAUGAAAAUAUCUGUUGUGUCAUGGAGAGCCUAGGCUGACUGCUGUAAUGAGAUGUUUGGGUGGAACUGAGAGUGAAUGGAGCUUGAUCUGAAUGCUAAUGUAGCUGUAAGGAGGCCUGACCUGAUUUCUACUGAUUGAGUGGAUGGGAAAUAAACUUACACAAUCUUUAUUCUGCUUUUUCCGGGGAUGGUAGGGCAGAGGGAUACUGGUAUUGAUAUCAAAUACACAUCCAUCCCCAAUUCUUAAAAAAAAAAAAAAAGAAAUUUUAUACGACACACUUGUGCCCCCAGAUUUCAUAGAAUUUUGAAUAGUUUGGCUUAAGUCACUGACUUAAAAAAGGUAAACUUCUAAGUCAAAACAAGCUUGCCUUGCUGAUUUUUGUUGCCUGUGUACUCCCUUUAACUAAUUCAGUCUUUCUUUUCAGAGUUUGAUUCAAAGGUGAAAAUUGGCUUAUCAAGCAUUAGUGAUAAACCCUAUACUGGUCAGUCCUGUAACAUAUCCAGUAGAUGGCUAAUCAACCAAAAGCAAUUCGUAGUCACAUAUUGAUCACAACUUGAAAGAAAACCUUUCUUGCUACAGUGAAGAUCUGCAAAGGCAGAAACAAGAGAGUAUCUCAGUGCCAGAUAUUGUGAUCUUUUCAGAAGAGAAGUCCUUCUUUAUACACAUUUCAAUUCCUGUAGAAAAAAUGACUGCUAUUCAGGUGGAACAAAACCAGGCGAUUCUCAAGACAGCUCCAUAGACAGAAGACCAAAGCAACACAGAAACCAGUUCUCUGUUUCUUCGUUGAACCAAACAUUUGCUUGCCUGUAAACCCAUCAACACAGAUUUAUGUUUGCUUUUCUCCUUAUCCUUAUCACACUGGUACAGCUUCAUGUCAGAGAACUGCCUACCUGGCUUUCAUACUCUCAGCUCUUGCCCGGCAUUAACAUUACCUCUCUAGCACCACAGAAACAAAAUGGUAGCUCGUGAGCAGCCCAUGAGGGUAAGUGUGGUUAACUUCCCUGUGUGCGUUAGCUCAGUGAGAAAAUUCAAGAGUCACUUGUCACUUCCCACUCUGAGAGCACAGAGCAUGACAAAUCUCUUUUUGUGGCAUCUUGGGGUUUUGCUGCACUGUAACUACUCUAGCCUUGUUAUCUUCUAUUUGUGCUGCAGAAGCACUCUGUGGCCAGUUAUUGUAUGGACUGGUUUAGAAUAGGAAAUGAUGAAGCUUUAACACCAUUAGUCCCCUUAUUGUUGAAUAUGUUACAAUCAUUCUUUUUAAAUUCACAAAAGUUAACAAAGGGCUUUUCUAAAUAGAGCUUGAAUGUCUUAAAAAUAAAUCUGAGGCUUUAAUGCUCUGUAAUUAUCUUGUCUAUUAUCUCAUCUGCCACUUAAUCUUUCAUGCUUUUUUCUGAUCUUUUAACUAUAUGGAGGGGUUGCCAUUUUUAAAAAACAUACAUCUUAAAAACAAUUCUGGGUAUUUUUGAUUUUUUUUUUUUUUUUUUUUUGCUUCUGAAGCUUCAUAAAAUUCACUUGAAGGAAAUUAUUUUGAGUCUUCACACAGAGAUCACUGGCUAUUUUAAACUUGAAAAUAGUACCUAAUUUUGUUAUUGCAUUAGAGUUCCUGAAUUUAAGGCAAAAAUAUUGUUCAACUUGUCACAAGCACAAAAUGAUAAUUCUGUUACUUUCCUGUAUUAAGUUGUAUACAUGGGUUUUCUGCCAAGACAUAGCAGCAUUAAAGUGACUUUUGAAGACAGUUUUGUAGGGGUGAAUUUCUAGAUUUUUCUGAGGACUAAAGACAUGAACUAGGGCUGAGUCCCACAGAGGAUGAGAUACAUUGGUUUAACAAUAUUGACUUUGAGCCAACACUAUCGAAGAGCUGUAAUUUGGUUCAUUCUUGGUUUUAGUGCAUUUUUCACCCAUAUUUUAAAGUAGGUAAUCUGUAAUCAGUGAUAACUUUAUCACAGCUAUUGUUAGAAAUGUAAGGGGCCCAGUAGUUGGUUCUUGCCUUAUUUCGACAGGUUAACUCUGCACAACCUCAUACCUAGUGAGGUAGUAGGGGGAAGAAGGUUACCUUCUGCUUCUAUUUUCUUCAGAAUACUGAAGGCUAGAGAUGGUGAUUAGAUGUAUAGACAUCUUAUUCAACAAUUUCCCAGUCUAAGACCAUCA
This is a long non-coding RNA of Pseudopipra pipra, 10226 nucleotides long. RefSeq lists it as uncharacterized. Lineage: Eukaryota; Metazoa; Chordata; Aves; Passeriformes; Pipridae. The transcript is spliced from 6 exons. The record is from RefSeq and is a predicted model, not a curated record.